This 496-nucleotide ribosomal RNA is filed under the name uncultured bacterium. RNAcentral describes it as "SSU rRNA". It matches the Rfam family "Bacterial small subunit ribosomal RNA", at positions 26 to 518 of the family's 1533-position model. The record is from RNAcentral.
AGAUUGAACGCUGGCGGCAUGCCUUACACAUGCAAGUCGAACGGCAGCACGGGGGUAACCCUGGUGGCGAGUGGCGAACGGGUGAGUAAUACAUCGGAACGUGUCCUGUAGUGGGGGAUAGCCCGGCGAAAGCCGGAUUAAUACCGCAUACGAUCUACGGAAGAAAGCGGGGGGAUCCUUCGGGACCUCGCGCUAUAGGGGCGGCCGAUGGCAGAUUAGCUAGUUGGUGGGGUAAAGGCCUACCAAGGCGACGAUCUGUAGCUGGUCUGAGAGGACGACCAGCCACACUGGGACUGAGACACGGCCCAGACUCCUACGGGAGGCAGCAGUGGGGAAUUUUGGACAAUGGGGGAAACCCUGAUCCAGCAAUGCCGCGUGUGUGAAGAAGGCCUUCGGGUUGUAAGCACUUUUGUCCGGAAGAAACUUCUGCCCUAAUACGGUGGAGGAUGACGGUACCGGAAGAAUAAGCACCGGCUAACUACGUGCCAGCAGCCGC